AGAGCGAACGCUGGCGGCAGGCCUAACACAUGCAAGUCGAACGGAUCCUUCGGGAUUAGUGGCAGACGGGUGAGUAACACGUGGGAACGUGCCUUUUGGUUCGGAACAACUCAGGGAAACUUGAGCUAAUACCGGAUAAGCCCUUCGGGGGAAAGAUUUAUCGCCAUUAGAGCGGCCCGCGUCUGAUUAGCUAGUUGGUGAGGUAAAGGCUCACCAAGGCUUCGAUCAGUAGCUGGUCCGAGAGGAUGAUCAGCCACACUGGGACUGAGACACGGCCCAGACUCCUACGGGAGGCAGCAGUGGGGAAUCUUGCGCAAUGGGCGAAAGCCUGACGCAGCCAUGCCGCGUGAAUGAUGAAGGUCUUAGGAUUAGUAAAAUUCUUUCACCGGGAAGAUAAUGACGGUACCGGAGAAGAAGCCCCGGCUACUUCGUGCCAGCAGCCGC
This 444-nucleotide ribosomal RNA is filed under the name uncultured soil bacterium. Its description in RNAcentral is "bacterial SSU rRNA". It matches the Rfam family "Bacterial small subunit ribosomal RNA", at positions 26 to 518 of the family's 1533-position model. The record is from RNAcentral.